AGCGAACGCUGGCGGCAGGCUUAACACAUGCAAGUCGAGCGCCUCGCAAGAGGAGCGGCAGACGGGUGAGUAACGCGUGGGAAUCUACCCAUCUCUACGGAACAACUCCGGGAAACUUGAGCUAAUACCGGAUACGCCUAACGGGGAAAGAUUUAUUGCCGAAGGAACGGCCCGCGUCCGAUUAGCUAGUUGGUGAGGUAACGGCUCACCAAGGCGACGAUCGGUAGCUGGUCUGAGAGGAUGACCAGCCUCAUUGGGACUGAGACACGGCCCAAACUCCUACGGGAGGCAGCAGUGGGGAAUAUUGGACAAUGGGCGCAAGCCUGAUCCAGCCAUGCCGCGUGAUGAUGAA
Molecule: ribosomal RNA, 352 nt
Filed under: uncultured bacterium
Lineage: Bacteria
Description: bacterial SSU rRNA
Rfam family: Bacterial small subunit ribosomal RNA
Source: RNAcentral